UCUAGAAGCUUCGGCAAUGGGGGCAACCCUGACCGAGCGACGCCGCGUGUGGGAUGAAGCAUUUCGGUGUGUAAACCACUGUCAGAAGGGAAGAAGGCCUGGAAAACGAUAAAUUUUCCGGGAGAGACGGUACCUUCAGAGGAAGCCCCGGCUAACUCCGUGCCAGCAGCCGCGGUAAUACGGAGGGGGCUAGCGUUGUUCGGAAUUAUUGGGCGUAAAGGGCGCGUAGGCGGCCUGGUAAGUCUAGCGUGAAAUCUUCACCGCUCAACGGGAAGACGGCGCUGGAUACUGCUGGGCUAGAGUGCGAGAGAGGUUGGUGGAAUCCCUGGUGUAGCGGUGGAAUGCGUAGAUAUCAGGAGGAACACCGGUGGCGAAGGCGGCCGACUGGCUCGUAACUGACGCUGAGGCGCGAAAGCGCGGGUAGCAAACAGGAUUAGAUACCCUGGUAGUCCGCGCUGUAAACGGUGCACACUAGGUGUGGGGCCGGGUUUACCGGUUCCGUGCCGCAGCUAACG
Molecule: ribosomal RNA, 515 nt
Filed under: uncultured bacterium
Lineage: Bacteria
Description: bacterial SSU rRNA
Rfam family: Bacterial small subunit ribosomal RNA
Source: RNAcentral